This 507-nucleotide ribosomal RNA is filed under the name uncultured bacterium. Its description in RNAcentral is "bacterial SSU rRNA". It matches the Rfam family "Bacterial small subunit ribosomal RNA", at positions 28 to 526 of the family's 1533-position model. The record is from RNAcentral.
AAUGAACGUUGGCGGCGUGGAUUAGGCAUGCAAGUCGAGCGAGAAGUCUCCCUUCGGGGAGAUGGACAGCGGCAAACGGGGUAGUAAUGCGUAGGUGACGUACCCUGGAGACCGGGAUAGCCGCGGGAAACUGCGGGUAAUACCGGAUGAUCUCUCGAUCCGUGAUUGGUUUGGGAGCAAAUGGUGUGAUUCCGCUCUGGGAGCGGCUUACGUGGUACUAGGUUGUUGGUGGGGUAACGGCCCACCAAGCCUUCGAUGCCUAGGGGGUGUGAGAGCAUGGCCCCCACCACUGGGACUGAGACACUGCCCAGACACCUACGGGUGGCUGCAGUCGAGAAUCUUCGGCAAUGGGCGCAAGCCUGACCGAGCGACGCCGCGUGCGGGAUGAAGGCCCUUGGGUUGUAAACCGCUGUCAGAGGGGAUGAAAUGCGGGAGAGCUAUCUCUCCCGUUUGACAGAGCCUCAAAGGAAGCACGGGCUAAGUACGUGCCAGCCGCCGCCGUAACAC